ACGGCUCAGUAACACGUGGACAACCUACCCUACGGAGGGGGAUAACCCCGGGAAACUGGGGAUAAUACCCCAUAGACUAUGAAUGCUGGAAUGCUUUGUAGUUGAAAGGUCCGCCGCCGUAGGAUGGGUCUGCGGCCGAUUAGGUUGUUGUUGGGGUAACGGCCCAACAAGCCUGUAAUCGGUACGGGUUGUGGGAGCAAGAGCCCGGAGAUGGAUUCUGAGACACGAAUCCAGGCCCUACGGGGCGCAGCAGCGCGAAAACUUUACAAUGCGGGAAACCGUGAUAAGGGAACUCCGAGUGCCCGUAAAAUCGGGCUGUCCAUCUGUUUAAAUAACAGGUGAAGAAAGGGCCGGGCAAGACCGGUGCCAGCCGCCGCGGUAAUACCGGCGGCUCGAGUGGUGGCCACUAUUACUGGGCUUAAAGCGUUCGUAGCUGGUCUGUUAAGUCUCUGGGGAAAUCUACUGGCUUAACCAAUAGGCGUCUCAGGGAUACUGGCAGACUAGGGACCGGGAGAGGUGAGAGGUACUCCAGGGGUAGGAGUGAAAUCCUGUAAUCCUUGGGGGACCACCUGUGGCGAAGGCGUCUCACCAGAACGGCUCCGACAGUGAGGGACGAAAGCUGGGGGAGCAAACCGGAUUAGAUACCC
Molecule: ribosomal RNA, 647 nt
Filed under: uncultured archaeon
Lineage: Archaea
Description: bacterial SSU rRNA
Rfam family: Archaeal small subunit ribosomal RNA
Source: RNAcentral